UUGUGGAGGAGGGCGCCGAAGGUGGGGCUAAUGACUGGGGUGAAGUCGUAACAAGGUAGCCGUACCGGAAGGUGCGGCUGGAUCACCUCCUAACAGGGAGACAACAAAAUGUUUAAUAUUAUUAUUUUGUCACCUUAGGUCGAUCGGUAUCUCACGUUUUUAAUUUAUUAAGAAUUUCAUUUCCUAAGUUUUUCUAGGUCACACCCAUUAUUUUUCCUGGGCCAUUAGCUCAGGUGGUUAGAGCGCACCCCUGAUAAGGGUGAGGUCCCUGGUUCAAGUCCAGGAUGGCCCAUAUCUCUAUGUUGGGGGUAUAGCUCAGUUGGUAGAGCGCCUGCUUUGCAAGCAGGAUGUCAGCGGUUCGAGUCCGCUUACCUCCACUGAUCACCACCUCUUCCAUAAUCGGUAGAAAGGAAAUUUUUUGAGUUGUGAUCAAAUUCUGAAAGAAUCUAGCUUCCUAAUGAAAUCAUUAAGAUGCUGGACUCAUUGAAUUAAUUUCAUUGUUUUCAGAGAACCUUGACAACUGCAUAGAUUAUUUUUAAAGACAAUAAGCAUCUUUAAUGAUGCAGAUUUAUUAUUUGUGCAAAUGCAUUAAUAACAAUUCUAUUAAGCUGAUGCUUCAAUAUUUGAAGUUAUUGGUCAAGCUACAA
Molecule: unclassified non-coding RNA, 647 nt
Filed under: uncultured Prochlorococcus sp.
Lineage: Bacteria; Bacillati; Cyanobacteriota; Cyanophyceae; Synechococcales; Prochlorococcaceae
Description: partial 16S-23S ribosomal RNA intergenic spacer; may also contain 16S ribosomal RNA and 23S ribosomal RNA
Rfam family: Bacterial small subunit ribosomal RNA (bases 1-93)
Source: RNAcentral